GCUGGUCGUGGUGGCACAUGCCUGUAGUCCCAGCUACUCAGGAUGCUGAGGUGGGAGGAUCGCUUGAGCCCAGGAGUUCUGGGCUGUAGUGCGCUAUGGUGAUCGGGUGUCCGCACUAAGUUCAGUAUCAAUAUGGUGACCUCCCAGGAGCAGGGGACCACCAGGUUGCCUAAGGAGGGGUGAACUGGCCCAGGUCAGAAAUGGAGCAAGUCAAAAAACUCCCGUGCUGACCACCAGUGGGAUCGUGUCAAUGAACAGCCACUGCACUCCAGCCUGGGCAAUAUAGCAAGACCCCAUCUCUG
Molecule: unclassified non-coding RNA, 302 nt
Organism: Callithrix jacchus (white-tufted-ear marmoset)
Lineage: Eukaryota; Metazoa; Chordata; Mammalia; Primates; Cebidae
Rfam family: Metazoan signal recognition particle RNA
About the family: The signal recognition particle (SRP) is a universally conserved ribonucleoprotein.
Source: Ensembl